RNAcentral lists this ribosomal RNA (490 nucleotides) under uncultured bacterium. RNAcentral describes it as "partial 16S ribosomal RNA". It matches the Rfam family "Bacterial small subunit ribosomal RNA", at positions 30 to 507 of the family's 1533-position model. The record is from RNAcentral.
AUUGAACGCUGGCGGCAGGCCUAACACAUGCAAGUCGAACGGUAACAGGAAGCAGCUUGCUGCUUCGCUGACGAGUGGCGGACGGGUGAGUAAUGUCUGGGAAGCUGCCUGAUGGAGGGGGAUAACUACUGGAAACGGUAGCUAAUACCGCAUAAUGUCGCAAGACCAAAGAGGGGGACCUUUGGGCCUCUUGCCAUCGGAUGUGCCCAGAUGGGAUUAGCUUGUUGGUGGGGUAACGGCUCACCAAGGCGACGAUCCCUAGCUGGUCUGAGAGGAUGACCAGCCACACUGGAACUGAGACACGGUCCAGACUCCUACGGGAGGCAGCAGUGGGGAAUAUUGCACAAUGGGCGCAAGCCUGAUGCAGCCAUGCCGCGUGUAUGAAGAAGGCCUUCGGGUUGUAAAGUACUUUCAGCGGGGAGGAAGGGAGUAAAGUUAAUACCUUUGCUCAUUGACGUUACCCGCAGAAGAAGCACCGGCUAACUCCGUG